RNAcentral lists this ribosomal RNA (381 nucleotides) under Triticum aestivum (bread wheat). RNAcentral describes it as "partial small subunit ribosomal RNA". Lineage: Eukaryota; Viridiplantae; Streptophyta; Magnoliopsida; Poales; Poaceae. The record is from RNAcentral.
AUGCAGUCUGUUUCCCCCACCCCCACGGCGACGGCUGUGCCUGUGCGCCCAUCGUUGCGUGCCGUCCCGCGCUCGCUCGCUUCGGCGGAAAGGCUUGGGAUGGGCCGUGCCGCGACAUGCACCACCACAGCACUCCACGCGCAGUGCGGUGGCUGGGCGGAACCGGUGGAGGCGCGCAAGGAGGACGGGCCCGUGCCUCAGGAGCGAGUCCGAGGGGAGGACGAGGCCAUGGCCGGGGAAGACGAGGGCCGUAGCCCCACGGACUACGGCCGCCGAGCGCACAUCUUCGAGGAGAGCUCCCGGGUGUUCCGGGUCCUCAAGGAGCGCCGUGAUGGGGACGGCGGUGCCAAGCCUGGUGCUGCCGCGACGCGCCAUGGCUGA